GACGAACGCUGGCGGCGUGCCUAAUACAUGCAAGUCGAACGCUGAAGCGAGGAGCUUGCUCUUCUUGGGUGAGUUGCGAACGGGUGAGUAACGCGUAGGUAACCUGCCUUGUAGCGGGGGAUAACUAUUGGAAACGAUAGCUAAUACCGCAUAACAAUGGAUGACACAUGUCAUUUAUUUGAAAGGGGCAAUUGCUCCACUACAAGAUGGACUUGCGUUGUAUUAGCUAGUAGGUGAGGUAACGGCUCACCUAGGCGACGAUGCAUAGCCGACCUGAGAGGGUGAUCGGCCACACUGGGACGGAGACACGGCCCAGACGCCUACGGGAGGCAGCAGGAGGGAAACUUCGGCAAUGGGGGCAACCCUGACCGAGCAACGCCGCGUGAGUGAAGAAGGAUGUCGGAUCGUAAAGCUCGGUUGUAAGUCAAGAACGAGUGUGAGAGUGGAAAGUUUACACUGUGACGGUAGCUUACCAGAAAGGGACGGCUAACUACGUG
RNAcentral lists this ribosomal RNA (497 nucleotides) under uncultured bacterium. RNAcentral describes it as "partial 16S ribosomal RNA". It matches the Rfam family "Bacterial small subunit ribosomal RNA", at positions 28 to 507 of the family's 1533-position model. The record is from RNAcentral.